This 500-nucleotide ribosomal RNA is filed under the name uncultured bacterium. RNAcentral describes it as "partial 16S ribosomal RNA". It matches the Rfam family "Bacterial small subunit ribosomal RNA", at positions 30 to 523 of the family's 1533-position model. The record is from RNAcentral.
AUUGAACGCUGGCGGCAGGCUUAACACAUGCAAGUCGAACGGUAACAGGGUGCUUGCACCGCUGACGAGUGGCGAACGGGUGAGUAAUGCGUCGGAACGUGCCGAGUAGUGGGGGAUAACGCAGCGAAAGUUGAGCUAAUACCGCAUACGUACUGAGGUAGAAAGUGGGGGACCUUCGGGCCUCACGCUAUUCGAGCGGCCGACGUCUGAUUAGCUAGUAGGUGAGGUAAAGGCUCACCUAGGCGACGAUCAGUAGCGGGUCUGAGAGGAUGAGCCGCCACACUGGGACUGAGACACGGCCCAGACUCCUACGGGAGGCAGCAGUGGGGAAUUUUGGACAAUGGGCGAAAGCCUGAUCCAGCCAUGCCGCGUGUCUGAAGAAGGCCUUCGGGUUGUAAAGGACUUUUGUCAGGGAGGAAAUCCCUAGUGCUAAUAACACUGGGGGAUGACAGUACCUGAAGAAUAAGCACCGGCUAACUACGUGCCAGCCGCCGCCGUAA